Empidonax traillii (willow flycatcher) is the source of this 845-nucleotide long non-coding RNA. RefSeq lists it as uncharacterized. The transcript has 3 exons. Lineage: Eukaryota; Metazoa; Chordata; Aves; Passeriformes; Tyrannidae. The record is from RefSeq and is a predicted model, not a curated record.
GACAUUUGCUCGCUCCGGGGAUUGAACCUUCUGCUUCCACUUGAUUCACUGACGAACGUGAAAUGCAAAAUAAGCCGGGAGAGAAGAGCUGUGGUGCCAGCAGCUGCUUCCCGGGGAAACUGCUGACACCUGAGGAGCUUCUGGGUGGAGGACACCACGAUCCACACCACAGCCUGUGCCAGAGGGCAUGGCUGGGUGGGAGUGCUGGCACCAGCACAGCUUUCAGAAGACGACAGGAAUUUGCCCAGACUCCAGUUAGCAGGAGCAGAAGGCACAGCCAUCCUGUUUGAUGUCCGUGACAAAAAGCCUGGGAUGAAGGACAAAACGAUCAAAAAUCAAUACUUCAAAAUCUCUGCCUUUCAAAAAAAGAUUUGAAACCAGCCUCCCCCUGUCUCUUCCUUUGAGGUUCUGCUGAGAGGCUUUGUUUUAAGGGAUGCCAUUUUCAAAGAGGGGCAGGAGAAAGCUGGGGAAAAAAAAAAGUUUAAAUUAUUUUCCCAGUUCAGUCAUUCCAUAGAGGAGCAUCAUGAGGGAAAACUGGCUUCAAAGGCCAGGGGAAAGCAGGAGAAAUAAAAGCAUUUCUCCCUCCAUAUAAAGGCAGCUGACUCCUCUUGGUGAAAACGUUGUCAUAUUUUGUUUAAAUUUAUGUAUUUCUUUGGAACUUUGGGAUUGCAGGCGAAGGUUUAACUCCCUGACUUUAGCCCAGGAGGUGCAGUAAAUGGAGCUCUGCCUCUAAUUUGUGUCAUGUUUAAUUAAGAGUAAUGAAUAGAGGAAUUUCUUUGCCCUCUCAAGUCAGUUUGUCCUGCAUUUGCAGCUUUUUUUUUUCCCCAGUAACUGCCCAUCUUGCC